CCUACGGGAGGCAGCAGUGAGGAAUAUUGGUCAAUGGACGAGAGUCUGAACCAGCCAAGUAGCGUGAAGGAUGACUGUCCUAUGGGUUGUAAACUUCUUUUAUAUGGGAAUAAAACGUUCCACGUGUGGGAUUUUGUAUGUACCAUAUGAAUAAGGAUCGGCUAACUCCGUGCCAGCAGCCGCGGUAAUACGGAGGAUCCGAGCGUUAUCCGGAUUUAUUGGGUUUAAAGGGAGCGUAGGUGGAUUGUUAAGUCAGUUGUGAAAGUUUGCGGCUCAACCGUAAAAUUGCAGUUGAAACUGGCAGUCUUGAGUACAGUAGAGGUGGGCGGAAUUCGUGGUGUAGCGGUGAAAUGCUUAGAUAUCACGAAGAACUCCGAUUGCGAAGGCAGUUCACUGGACUGCAACUGACACUGAGGCUCGAAAGUGUGGGUAUCAAACAGGAUUAGAUACCCUUGUAGUC
This 460-nucleotide ribosomal RNA is filed under the name uncultured bacterium. Its description in RNAcentral is "partial 16S ribosomal RNA". It matches the Rfam family "Bacterial small subunit ribosomal RNA", at positions 338 to 795 of the family's 1533-position model. The record is from RNAcentral.